Molecule: transfer RNA, 72 nt
Filed under: Lactobacillus johnsonii
Lineage: Bacteria; Bacillati; Bacillota; Bacilli; Lactobacillales; Lactobacillaceae
Also listed under: 1 other name
Description: tRNA-Glu
Rfam family: tRNA
About the family: Transfer RNA (tRNA) molecules are approximately 80 nucleotides in length. Their secondary structure includes four short double-helical elements and three loops (D, anti-codon, and T loops). Further hydrogen bonds mediate the characteristic L-shaped molecular structure. tRNAs have two regions of fundamental functional importance: the anti-codon, which is responsible for specific mRNA codon recognition, and the 3' end, to which the tRNAs corresponding amino acid is attached (by aminoacyl-tRNA synthetases). tRNAs cope with the degeneracy of the genetic code in two manners: having more than one tRNA (with a specific anti-codon) for a particular amino acid; and 'wobble' base-pairing, i.e. permitting non-standard base-pairing at the 3rd anti-codon position.
Source: RNAcentral
GGCUCGUUGGUCAAGUGGUCAAGACACUGGUUUUUCAUACCAGUAACACAAGUUCGAUUCUUGUACGGGCUA